RNAcentral lists this ribosomal RNA (164 nucleotides) under uncultured bacterium. Its description in RNAcentral is "partial 16S ribosomal RNA". It matches the Rfam family "Bacterial small subunit ribosomal RNA", at positions 355 to 511 of the family's 1533-position model. The record is from RNAcentral.
UAGGGAAUCUUCCACAAUGGACGAAAGUCUGAUGGAGCAACGCCGCGUGAGUGAAGAAGGGUUUCGGCUCGUAAAACUCUGUUGUUAAAGAAGAACAUAUCUGAGAGUAACUGUUCGGGUAUUGACGGUAUUUAACCAGAAAGCCACGGCUAACUACGUGCCAA